AUGAUUGUGAGCGGAAUAAAAGUAUUGUGGACAUCAGUACGAAGCGUGGAUUCUUUUGACCAGAGUAGAUACAGUGAAAACGUGUCCCAAUCCAUCUGGAGGCUUCGGUGUGCAAAGCUCUUCUCAUCCUGCAGCAAGCUACAGGUCUCGGUUUACAACGCGCUUCUCAUCCUGCAGCAAGCUACAGGUCUUGGUUGCUUCUCAUCCUGCAGUGAGCUACAGGCUUCAGUGGACACUUGCUUUGCAUUUUGUAACAACCAAUCAGGAGCUGCAGAUUCAGCGGACGCUCCAAGAAGCGGUUUCAAGAAGCUAGUCACUUCCUGUGAGUCGCGGGAACUGGAAGUUGUGCGCGGGAGAGACAAGACAGAGCGGUAACACGGCGGACUUUUCGGAAUAUACAUCUUUUCUACUGCUGGUUUAUGAGGUGUACACGGUAAAAAGCAUUACGCUGUUAUUUGUUUAACACUUGUGCACUUUGUGAAAAGAAAUAUGUCGCUGAGAUGAAUAUAUGUGCUAUUGAUAUUAUUUUACUUGUUUCUAGUUUUCACGGUGCUCCAUGAUUGUGAGCGGAAUAAAAGUAUUGUGGACAUCAGUACGAAGCGUGGAUUCUUUUGACCAGAGUAGAUACAAGGAGUAUACAAAGUAUUUUUGAAUAAUGUGUCCUAACCAUGCAUCAAACGGUUGUUAAAAAAUAACACAGGUGGGCCCCGGUAGCAGAUCACUCAGACACGCUUGGUAGUAGUGAAACAGAUUUAUUUAGAGUGAAAAACACAAAAACAAUAAGGGGGCGAGGGAGCACGCGCACGGAGACACUCGAGCGUUAGUAAACGGGGAAAGGUGAGAGACUUCAAUAGUGGACAUCGGUUGCACACAGAUGUUUUACUUUGGCAGCAACUUAAACAACUGAGUCAAAUUAACACUUAAAUUCAAAACACAUAAAUCCAAGAAGGUGGUCAGUCUUCUUUUUUCAGUCUAAAAAUUGGAGCGCUUACUUGUCACACAUUUACUGAGGACUCGGACGGGGUGCGUGGACCUCGUGGCGGGGUAGGCGUGGGUCGAUGAUAGUGUAGGCGGGCAGGAUGACUGACAUCCAAAGGAGACAAACGAAGGAAGCACGGUAAGGAAGACUGGGGAGCGUGGAAGUGAUCCUCAGGUUGUGGACGGCUGGGGUGACAGCGAAGCAAGGUGACAGGAAAACAGGCGAGAAGGAAUCCCAAAAAGAGUUUGAUUACUGGAGGAUUUCCACACGAACCACGACUGACUCAUUACCACUGGCUCAGACAAUACUCUGACAACAGACGUCUACCACUCCGCUAUUUAACAAGUGUGUAGGGAAAUCCCGAAAGUCACAGCCUCGCCCGCCUGCUACAUAACGGGGAACCACAGCAAAACACGCGUGAAACAGAUGUAACAACAGACAGAUGUAGGGACCGGAUGCUUUAAAUGUAAAGUGAUUAUUUUGAAAUAUUGUCAAACGCUGUUACAGAUUGUUCAGUCAAUAAAGAUGACGUUUAUACGGUGUUUAGACCGUGUUUGAUUGAGUGUGUUGGACAGCUGUAAUUAUGAAUUUUAGGGGAAUCUUAUGAAACGGUCUUGAGACGUGUGCAAAUUUGAAAGGGUGGGCAGGGCUUUUCGGCUGAACUAACGAGGAAGUCCUGAAAGUUUUUUCUCGUUGAAAAGAGCCAUGUGCAGCUUGACAUAAAGUCUGAGCUCUGGAUGAGCAGAAAUGUGGAUUCUACCGCAGAACGUUUGAGAGAACGAUCAAAGUUUGGGUUUCUUUUUGUUGAGCCUGCGCUGCUUCUGCGUCCGAGUCGGGAAACAAAGACACGGCAGUAAGUACAUUUGUGCAGAGGCCUGCUGCAUCAUACAGUGUUAUGAAAUCUCCCGAUUUUCCUGACAUCUGUAU
This is a long non-coding RNA of Oreochromis niloticus (Nile tilapia), 1906 nucleotides long. NCBI's taxonomy places the organism in Eukaryota, Metazoa, Chordata, Actinopteri, Cichliformes, Cichlidae. The record is from Ensembl.